AUUGAACGCUGGCGGCAGGCCUAACACAUGCAAGUCGAGCGGAUGAACGGAGCUUGCUCCUGGAUUCUGUGGCGGACGGGCGAGUAAUGCCUAGGAAUCUGCCCUGUCGAGGGGGCUAACGUCCGGAAACGGGCGCUAAUACCGCACACGUCCUGAGGGUGAACGUGGGGGAUCUUCGGACCUCACGCUUUUUGAUGAGCCUAGGUCGGAUUAGCUAGUUGGUGGGGUAAAGGCUUACCAAGGCGACGAUCCGUAACUGGUCUGAGAGGGUGAUCAGUCACACUGGAACUGAGACACGGUCCAGACUCCUACGGGAGGCAGCAGUGGGGAAUAUUGGACAAUGGGCGAAAGCCUGAUCCAGCCAUGCCGCGUGUGUGAAGAAGGUCUUCGGAUUGUAAAGCACUUUAAGUUGGGAGGAAGGGCAGUGAAUUUAUACCUGGCUGUUUUGACGGUACCAACAGAGUAAGCACCGGCUAACUUCGUG
RNAcentral lists this ribosomal RNA (484 nucleotides) under uncultured bacterium. Its description in RNAcentral is "partial 16S ribosomal RNA". It matches the Rfam family "Bacterial small subunit ribosomal RNA", at positions 30 to 507 of the family's 1533-position model. The record is from RNAcentral.